GGCCGCGGGAAUUCGAUUCAGGCCUAACACAUGCAAGUCGGACGGUAGCACAGGGGAGCUUGCUCCCCGGGUGACGAGUGGCGGACGGGUGAGUAAUGUCUGGGAAACUGCCCGGUGGAGGGGGAUAACUACUGGAAACGGUAGCUAAUACCGCAUAACGUCUUCGGACCAAAGUGGGGGAUCUUCGGACCUCACGCCACCGGAUGUGCCCAGAUGGGAUUAGCUAGUAGGUGGGGUAACGGCUCACCUAGGCGACGAUCCCUAGCUGGUCUGAGAGGAUGACCAGCCACACUGGAACUGAGACACGGUCCAGACUCCUACGGGAGGCAGCAGUGGGGAAUAUUGCACAAUGGGCGCAAGCCUGAUGCAGCCAUGCCGCGUGUAUGAAGAAGGCCUUCGGGUUGUAAAGUACUUUCAGCGGGGAGGAAGGCGGUGAGGUUAAUAACCUCGCCGAUGACGUACCCGCAGAAGAG
This 473-nucleotide ribosomal RNA is filed under the name uncultured bacterium. Its description in RNAcentral is "bacterial SSU rRNA". It matches the Rfam family "Bacterial small subunit ribosomal RNA", at positions 36 to 489 of the family's 1533-position model. The record is from RNAcentral.